Molecule: ribosomal RNA, 301 nt
Filed under: uncultured bacterium
Lineage: Bacteria
Description: partial 16S ribosomal RNA
Rfam family: Bacterial small subunit ribosomal RNA
Source: RNAcentral
CAGCAGCCGCGGUAAUACGGAGGAUCCAAGCGUUAUCCGGAUUUAUUGGGUUUAAAGGGUGCGUAGGCGGCCUAUUAAGUCAGGGGUGAAAGACGGUAGCUUAACUAUCGCAGUGCCUUUGUUACUGAUGGGCUUGAAUACACUUGAGGUAGGCGGAAUGUGACAAGUAGCGGUGAAAUGCAUAGAUAUGUCACAGAACACCAAUUGCGAAGGCAGCUUACUAAACGCUCAUUGACGCUGAGGCACGAAAGCGUGGGGAUCAAACAGGAUUAGAUACCCGAGUAGUCCCUGUCUCUUAUAC